Molecule: ribosomal RNA, 298 nt
Filed under: Stagmomantis sp. MN433
Lineage: Eukaryota; Metazoa; Arthropoda; Insecta; Mantodea; Mantidae
Description: partial 16S ribosomal RNA
Rfam family: Bacterial large subunit ribosomal RNA (bases 172-298)
Source: RNAcentral
AUAGAUCUUAAUAUUUAAAAUAAUUAAUUGAGUUAAUUUUUAAUUUUUGAUUAUUAUGUAAUUUAUUUAAUUGGGGUGAUUAGAAGAUAAUAAAAACUCUUCUUUAAAGUUAAAUAUUGUAAGUAAUUAUGUGAUCCAUAUUUAAUGAUUAAAAGAUUAAAUUACCUUAGGGAUAACAGCAUAAUUUUUUUUAAGAGUUCAUAUCGAAAAAAAAGAUUGUGACCUCGAUGUUGGAUUAAGAUUAGUUUUGGGUGUAGAAGUUCAAUAACUAGGUCUGUUCGACCUUAUAAUUCUUACA